AAUCUUGUCAUUUGAUUUCUAUGGUAUUUCUCUCCAUUAGGACUGGGUAUUGGCUCCUACGGGUUACUCUGCCUUCUACUGUGAUGGAGAAUGCCUCUACCCUCUGUGUUCCUGCAUAAACUCCACCACCCACACUAUGAUCCAACUAGUGGUUUGUUGAACAUGAGUGGAAAUGAAACUCCAGCACACUGGUAGCACUAAAGACGUGUGAGUAGAACUUUUCCAGGUGAGUUGAACCUGCCUGUGGGUGCAGUGGGGAUAUUCCUGGGAGGUCUACUGAUGAAGAGGUAUAAGCUUGGCGUUGUGUCUGGAGCCCAGCUGUCUUUCGUCACCUCCUUCAUGGCCUACCUCCUCCUCCCUCUGCAGUCUGGCACUAAGUGUGACAACGUUCAGGUGGCUGGUCUGACCGUGUCCUACAACGGGAAAAUAUGACAUCUGAUUGGUUGGUUGGUUGGUGGGUUGAUAAAAACAAAAGUUUUGAUCAGUGGAAUAUGAGGGAGAGCUUGACCAAAACACACAUGGGCUUGUGCCGGGGCUCCCUCUUGUGGGAAUAUUCAGUAUGGUUGUUACUGAGCCCGGAUUCCUGGCUGUUUUGUCACUGUGCCUGUGUCAAUGAUAGUUCAGCAACAAUUAUUUAAACAUCAUUAUUACCAGCCAUUUUCUCUGUCCCCCAGGUCCCCUGGUGUACGAUGGCAGCCUGUUGUCAGAGUGUAACAGAGACUGCUCCUGCUUGGCUGGGGAGUGGGACCCUGAGUGUUCAGACAACGGCAUCACCUACACCUCCCCCUGCCUCGCAGGCUGCUCCAGCUUUACAGGUUAUGGCAAGAACACGUACCAAUCCUAUUAAUGUACUGAGUGUACAAAACAUUCACAGGGAUGCUGGCCCAUGUUGACUUCAGUGCUUCCCACAGUUGUGUCAAGUUGGCUGUAUGUCUUUUGAGUGGUGGACCAUUCUUGAUACACACGGGAAACUGUUGAGCGUAAAAAAAACAGCAGCGUUGCAGUUCUUGACACAAACUGGUACCCCUGGCACCGACUACCAUGCCCCGUUGAAAGGCACGUAAAUAUUUUGUCUUGCCCAUUCACCCUCUGAAUGGCACACACACAAUCCAUGUCUCAAUUGUCUCAAGCUUUACAAUAUAUUUUUUAAACCUUUCCCCUCCUCUUUAUCUAUACUGAUUUAAGUGGAUUUAACUAGUAACAUCCAUAAGGGAUUAUAGCGUUAACCUGGAUUCACCUGGUCAGCAUAUGUCAUGGAAAGAGCAGGUGUUCUUAAUGUUUUAUACACUCAGUGUAACUCAUUGGCACUGAAAUUAGUUAUUUUCAACCAUUAACUGGGGCCUUGUUGAGGCCUUAUCUAAGUAAGUAAUUGCUGAUUGACACUAAAGUAUUAUUUUGAUGUAUGGAAAAAAUAUGGUAUGCAAUUCCUAUGUAGAGAAGGUUCUCUCUGGUAGUUGUUCAAUAUGACUUGAACUUUUACAGCUUUUACAGGGCACUGUGGUAAAAUGGAUGUUUAAUUUCAGUGUGACUCCCUGUUUAAA
Molecule: long non-coding RNA, 1541 nt
Organism: Oncorhynchus tshawytscha (Chinook salmon)
Lineage: Eukaryota; Metazoa; Chordata; Actinopteri; Salmoniformes; Salmonidae
Exons: 2
Source: RefSeq, a predicted model, not a curated record